AUUGAACGCUGGCGGAAUGCUUUACACAUGCAAGUCGAACGGCAGCACGGACUUCGGUCUGGUGGCGAGUGGCGAACGGGUGAGUAAUGUAUCGGAACGUGCCCAGUCGUGGGGGAUAACGUAGUGAAAAUUACGCUAAUACCGCAUACGAUCUAUGGAUGAAAGCGGGGGAUCGCAAGACCUCGCGCGAUUGGAGCGGCCGAUAUCAGAUUAGGUAGUUGGUGGGGUAAAGGCCACCAAGCCAACGAAUCGUAGUAGGGCUGAGGGGACGACCAGCCACACUGGAACUGAGACACGGUCCAGACUCCUACGGGAGGCAGCAGUGGGGAAUUUUGGACAAUGGGCGAAAGCCUGAUCCAGCCAUUCCGCGUGCAGGAUGAAGGCCCUCGGGUUGUAAACUGCUUUUGUACAGAACGAAAAGGUUUCUACUAAUACUAGGAGCUCAUGACGGUACUGUAAGAAUAAGCACCGGCUAACUACGUGCCAGCCGCCGCGGUAA
RNAcentral lists this ribosomal RNA (499 nucleotides) under uncultured bacterium. Its description in RNAcentral is "partial 16S ribosomal RNA". It matches the Rfam family "Bacterial small subunit ribosomal RNA", at positions 30 to 523 of the family's 1533-position model. The record is from RNAcentral.